This 468-nucleotide ribosomal RNA is filed under the name uncultured bacterium. RNAcentral's name for it is "partial 16S ribosomal RNA". It matches the Rfam family "Bacterial small subunit ribosomal RNA", at positions 28 to 507 of the family's 1533-position model. The record is from RNAcentral.
GACGAACGCUGGCGGCGUGCUUAACACAUGCCAGUCGAACGGUGAAGCUCCAGCUUGCUGGAGUGGAUCAGUGGCGAACGGGUGAGUAACACGUGAGCAACCUGCCCCUGACUCUGGAAUAAGCGCUGGAAACGGCGUCUAAUACUGGAUACGAGAAGGGUCCGCAUGGGCACUUUCUGGAAAGUUUUUCGGUUGGGGAUGGGCUCGCGGCCUAUCAGCUUGUUGGUGAGGUAAUGGCUCACCAAGGCGACGACGGGUAGCCGGCCUGAGAGGGCGACCGGCCACACUGGGACUGAGACACGGCCCAGACUCCUACGGGAGGCAGCAGUGGGGAAUAUUGCACAAUGGGCGAAAGCCUGAUGCAGCAACGCCGCGUGAGGGAUGACGGCCUUCGGGUUGUAAACCUCUUUCAGCAGGGAAGAAGCGAAAGUGACGGUACCUGCAGAAGAAGCACCGGCUAACUACGUG